Orbicella faveolata is the source of this 2982-nucleotide long non-coding RNA. The record is from RefSeq and is a predicted model, not a curated record. NCBI's taxonomy places the organism in Eukaryota, Metazoa, Cnidaria, Anthozoa, Scleractinia, Merulinidae.
UUUUUCAGGCCAGAAUAAAGUGGCCAUAAUAACGAGGUAGUCGUAUUAGCGGGGUGGUCGUAAGGCGGGGUUCCGCUGUAUUUGGUUUUUGUAAAUAGAUAGAUGCAGAAGGGGGGAGAGGACACAAUCAGUGAAAGAAAUUCAUUACCAUGAAUAACUGUGAACAAUGAGUGAGUUUCUUGUGCCAAUAAAAGUAGAGCUAUUAAAAUUAUGAACCCUUGGUGACAGGGAUCGAAAGCAAAUGAGCAAUUUUAAAUUUUAAAUCAAAGCAAAAUUAAAUCAAAGUACUUUUUAAUCCUUAUUUUCAAUGUCUUUUUAAUCUGUUUUGAUGUGGUUAAAUGUAAUUUCAGCUAAGUUAAACGUGAAACAGUGCUGGUCAGCAGCCUUCCCCUGUUUUGGACAUGAGCAGUGGUGUGGGGUCUGCUGGGGGUCGUGUGGUUUUACAGUGUGGCUUUUGAGGUCAACUCAUUCUCACGUGCGUUUGUGCCGUUUCGACUGUGCUUGGCGAUUUAGCUCCCUGCUCUCCCUCCCUCUCUGGUAAGUAUGAGGUAAGUAUUAUGGUUCCACUGUUUUUGCAGUGUGACGGUGCCUGGUGGUUGCCGCUCACAGGGUUGUCAUGGUUGCCCUACAACUCGGCUCUUGUGCACAGGGUUGUCAUGGUUACCCUAUGUGCUCGGCUCUUGUGCUCGAGGCUCCACUAUCUUUCCAGGCACCUUCCCCAAGCUCAUCUAUUGUUGAUGAGUUUAAGGGCUAGGAAAUUCAUAGUAAUAUAAAGUUUUCGAAGACCUUUUCUUAUUAUUCACCAUUUUUGUAUUAUAAACAAGGAUUUUUCUUACUUAAAAUUAGUGGUAAAAUUCUAACAUUAUUUUACGCACACUGAGCUUUGGAUGCUCACUCGCGCUAUUCAGGGCUCCCAAAAAGUGCUGUCUGAUCUUCCAGGACAAGUACUUACCUAGGGCAAGUGAGAUUUGAGUGCUACUUCAGGGAUUGGGAAGGCAAAACAGACAAAUGAGCCUAUGGCCCAUGGCAUUGGAAAGUUAUGGGCCAUUUAUAUGAAAAAAAUGGGCCAUUAGGUAAAUAAAUGGGCCAUAAAAAUUUUUUUUGACAAAUGAUUCGUAAUUCUUGAUUGCUGUUGUUUUAUACUUUUUACUGGACUUCAAGCUAGGUUAAAGUGUACAGUCACAGAAUAUAGCUAACUCAAAUUAUAUAACCUUUCAUUGAGGUUAAGCUAUGCAUUCUGAACUGGAACUGAUUAAAUGUAACACACCGAGUAGUCUGACAUCAACAUCACUGAGACAUGCUCAGUUUUAGAUUUAGAGUGACAAGUAAGGUUGCAUUUACAAUUUAAAACUUGAGCUAUACAUGAACUGUACAUAACACACCUGUAGCUCUCUAAUAAUUAAUGAAACAUUCACCAAAAGUUUUUUCGUUCCUUAGAACUAGAAGGCUUGGAAGCUUCAUCUUGAUUGUUGUUUUCAGGAUCACAAUUCGUUGUGGCGAACUUGGUGUUCGUAGUGUAAAGCGGCAAUUUUGGAACUUUUGCUUUCAGAGGCACAUUAUUCGGCUAAUUACAGCAUGCAAAACAUAUUCGACCAUAUUCAAAUCAGCCGUUUCUAUCAUUGAAAAACAGAAAGCACAUGGAUUGAGCAAGACCCCAAGUAAGGGGUCUGGGGAUGAAAAAUGCUUUCUUAAUGUCGAUUGAAGAGCAUAGGCAUCUUCAUUUCUCACAUGUUUAGUCAUUAUAACACUGAAAAUUUCACAAAUGAAAAUCCUUUCCACAAAAUAGUGUAUAUUUUGCUAGCUGUUUUGAUGCUAGGGCACAUCGCAGGCUGGUAGGUGCUUUUAUAAUGCUUCAUUUCAUAGAUUUAUGUGCCAUAUGCCUACGGCGCAUGGCCUUCUCAAUCCCUGCUACUUGUCCCAAGGGCAAGCUGGAAUUUUUUCCCCUAGCCUCACAAAACUCUUGUAGCCAGUAGAAAUUGUGAUGUCUUAAAUGUUUCAAUUCAGGUGAAAUCACUUCUCUUGCAUUCAUACACAUUGCUAAAGGCUCUCUCUCUUUCUCACUUCAUCUGUUUAUAUAAUUUGAAUUAUAACUUCAGGCUGCUUCGUGGCCCUAGUAUAAUUCUCAUUUAGGCAACAAUUGACUCGAGCUAGUGCCGGUCAGCAGCCUUUCAGGGGGGGGGGGCAUGUUCUGUGGGGUCUCAUACAGGAUUUUGAAGGACUUAAGAGUGUUGCUUGCUAGCUGUGGAAGAACUUGAAGUUUGCUUUGAGUGCCAUUAAUGCUUGUAGCAUGCUUUUUCACCCUGCCUCCCUUCCUUUCACAACUGACAGUAAAUAUACAUAUAUGGGUAAUAAGUAUCUCCAAUGAUUCUGUCAGUAUGACGGUGCCUGGUGGUUGCUGCUAGCAGUGUUGCUAUGGAUACCUGCAUGGGCUGCUUGAGGCUCAUAUCUUGCUUGGCUCUACCUUUCCCAAACUCAUCAAUUGGUUUUGAGUUUAACAGUUGGUGGAUUAAGCAUGUUAAGCCUGUAGGGCAUGUACUCUAUACAAUUAUUAUUCCUUUGAGUUAAUGAAAUAUUAUCUAGUUAAUAAAUAUUUUUCAUUUGUUUUCCUCCAUCAAGAGAAAAGAGCUUAAGUGAUAAUGUUCCCUCUGACCAAUUAUCCCAAGAAACACAGAAUUGUGUUCAGGUUUUAAGACCAAAGGUAUUCAACCAAUGACGUUGAACACGACAAUCUUUUAUCAGUUUUGCCAGAACACAGGUAAGCUCCCUUGGCAACUUCAGCAUGUCUUGAAAUAGGUCCGUUAGGCGUACAUAUGGAACUAGCCUUAAUUACCCUUUACCCAUGUUUGGUUUGGUUAUAAUUCUAGAGAUCCAACUUUGGGGUUACCAUUCAUUAAAAUUGUAAGUGGUCCUGUGGAUCUGCACACAAUGUUCUGUUUUGGAUGCAACUGUGCAAGGAGUUUUACUAUACUCGUAAAAGGCAUU